RNAcentral lists this ribosomal RNA (433 nucleotides) under uncultured bacterium. RNAcentral describes it as "partial 16S ribosomal RNA". It matches the Rfam family "Bacterial small subunit ribosomal RNA", at positions 29 to 507 of the family's 1533-position model. The record is from RNAcentral.
AACGAACGCUGGCGGCAUGCCUAACACAUGCAAGUCGAACGAGACCUUCGGGUCUUGUGGCGCACGUGUGCGUAACGCGUGGGAACCUGCCCUUAGGUUCGGAAUAACUCCCCGAAAGGGGUGCUAAUACCGGAUAAUGUCUUCGGACCAAAGAUUUAUCGCCUUUGGAUGGGCCCGCGUUGGAUUAGCUAGUUGGUAGGGUAAAAGCCUACCAAGGGGACGAUCCAUAGCUGGUCUGAGAGGAUGAUCAGCCACACUGGGACUGAGACACGGCCCAGACUCCUACGGGAGGCAGCAGUGGGGAAUAUUGGACAAUGGGCGAAAGCCUGAUCCAGCAAUGCCGCGUGAGUGAUGAAGGCCUUAGGGUUGUAAAGCUCUUUUACCCGGGAUGAUAAUGACAGUACCGGGAGAAUAAGCUCCGGCUAACUCCGUG